This 69-nucleotide transfer RNA is filed under the name Caecilia gracilis (graceful caecilian). Its description in RNAcentral is "tRNA-Pro". It matches the Rfam family "tRNA". Rfam says of the family: Transfer RNA (tRNA) molecules are approximately 80 nucleotides in length. The record is from RNAcentral. Lineage: Eukaryota; Metazoa; Chordata; Amphibia; Gymnophiona; Caeciliidae.
CGAAGAAUAGUCCAAUUAGGAUUCUGGCCUUGGGUGCCAGGGAUAGAGGUUAAGGUCCUCUUUUUUCGA